GUGGGGAAUUUUGGACAAUGGGCGCAAGCCUGAUCCAGCAAUGCCGCGUGCAGGAAGAAGGCCUUCGGGUUGUAAACUGCUUUUGUACGGAACGAAACGGUCCUGGCUAAUAUCCGGGGCUAAUGACGGUACCGUAAGAAUAAGCACCGGCUAACUACGUGCCAGCAGCCGCGGUAAUACGUAGGGUGCGAGCGUUAAUCGGAAUUACUGGGCGUAAAGCGUGCGCAGGCGGUGCUGUAAGACAGGCGUGAACUCCCCGGGCUCAACCUGGGAAUUGCGCUUGUGACUGCAGUGCUGGAGUGCGGCAGAGGGGGAUGGAAUUCCGCGUGUAGCAGUGAAAUGCGUAGAUAUGCGGAGGAACACCGAUGGCGAAGGCAAUCCCCUGGGCCUGCACUGACGCUCAUGCACGAAAGCGUGGGGAGCAAACAGGAUUAGAUACCCUUGUAGUCC
RNAcentral lists this ribosomal RNA (450 nucleotides) under uncultured bacterium. RNAcentral describes it as "partial 16S ribosomal RNA". It matches the Rfam family "Bacterial small subunit ribosomal RNA", at positions 354 to 796 of the family's 1533-position model. The record is from RNAcentral.